Non-coding RNA from Oncorhynchus mykiss (rainbow trout), 2299 nucleotides. The record is from RefSeq and is a predicted model, not a curated record. Lineage: Eukaryota; Metazoa; Chordata; Actinopteri; Salmoniformes; Salmonidae.
UGACAUUAUUAGGGGCUAAACAGCAGCGCUAACACAGCUCCUCCCUCUCCUUUCAGAUCUGUACAAAAACGGACUUCAGAGGGACACCUUCCUACCUUUCAUCGACGCGUUGAAGGUGAAGACUAAGUCAUCCCUUCUUCGCUCCUCUGUGUCUUUUUUAAAAAUGGGUUUUCUACCUGAGAAGCACACAGUGUCACACACGGUGUCACAAAGCUGUCUUCGGUCAUACCUGGUGAUGGUGAAAGACUCAAACGGACACAGAGAGAGCGAGGGUGAGGGUGGUGCUGUUGGCUGAGGCUUCUCUGGAGGGAGGAAGGACGACCGCAAACGCCAGCUACUCGACAUCCUGGUUCUGAGCGGGGUGGACCACGGCCCAACCACAGCAAGAUCACAACAUGACCACAAACACAUUCCUUGAUAUAAACAUCUCUGUUAUUGUGUUGUUAACCCCUCUGUUUGUGGCUGUUUGUGUUAAACCCUCUUGGUGGUCAUGUUUGUGUCAACCCGAUUGUUUUUGGUAAUGUUUGUGUCAACCCGAUUUGUUUUUGGUAAUGGUUUAGCCCACUGUUUGAGGUUUUGGUAAUGGUUAACCCCACUGUUUGAGGUUGUGGUUCUGUUAAUGACUCUGUUCUGUGGUCCUGUUUGUAGGAUGUGGGGGACUGCCUGUCUCUGUUCACAGCAGAGGAGGAGAUCUUUACGUUUCAGAGGACCAUCUCAGUCCAGACUGACCGAGAUGCAGACGGAGAUGUACUGGACCCAAAGGGACCGAUUUCACACAGCACACACAAAGUGAGGAUCCGCAGUAAAGUACUUCUAAAGACCUGAAAACACAUAGAGGGGACAGAUGUGUUGGAUGCCUCCGGGUUCAUUCAAAUGGCAGGCAUGGCUUGAACGAGCUGAAGAGAGAAACUGACUGAAAUGCUGGGCUGACUUUAUACAUUUCUACCAGAAGAUGGCAGCAAAUGAUGGCCUACAGAAGCAUUCAUUCAUCCACCCCCUGUGUCCCUUUCCUCUCUCUGAUGCCCAAAGACAUUGUACCAAGUUGGGUCAGAGCCCUUCUCGCAAGCAAGGGGGAGGCCGAUGACAUAAGAGCAUCAGACUAACUCCUUGAAUGGCAUACUCCUUGAAGUUUGCAGUUGUCUAAAAAACACUAUUUUGCUUAAAAUGUAUUUUUCUUACCCUUAAGUGGAUGUACAUUACUGUAUUUAUACUUGGGAUAUUGUUUUUCAACAGGAAAGGUUCAAAUAUAGCUGGAGUGUGUCUUUAACCCUCCACUGCAGUAGCUAACUGCAGGCACCAAACUGCUGUAUCAGCCAUUCCUCUUUAUAUACAUAGCUGGGACAGGAGGAACAAAGAGGAGCAUGUUUACAUGUGAGCGUGCGUGCAUUCGUUCUUGUGUUAAUUUUGUAUACAGAACAAAAAUAUAAACGCAACAUGCAACAAUUUGAAAGAUUUUAUUGAGUUCAUAGAAGGAAGUCAGUCAUUUGAAAUAGUCAGUAUACAUGCAUGUGUAUGUACUUCGUUUGUUAUAAUUAUAAAUGAAAUAGUGUUGAUGUUUUCCAUGUAAAAUUCAAAGCCAUAACACAACCAAUGCCUUGCAGAAUGUGUGUGUUUUGUCUGAUUUAGUAUAUAGGAUUGUUAUCCAUUCCUAAUCAAUGCCAUCCGUUCCAAGAAUGAAUUGAUGAAUACCGCGCACAGGUGGAAUUCGCGCAUUCCUGUACAUAAAUCGAGAGAGCGUGUCCCCCCUGCAAGGUGGACGCGCACUUUACACAACAUCUUCUCUGGAACAAAGACGUAUGGAGGCUGACUGAUGCUGGUGUUUUGGUACGGUUUUGGUACGGUCUUGGAGGUGGGAGGGGAGGGGAGGGGCAACCACUCCGAAGUAUCACAUACAGGACAGAUAACCAUAGCAUUUAUUCCCUUAUCUCUUCAUUAUGAAUGACGUCAUGUGUUUGAAGAGGUCGAUCUGGUUUGAAGGGGGCGUGUUCUGCGCGUGCUGUCCACAUUGAUUGACACCCAUGCUCACGGAUUAAAGGUUUAAAGAUACUGUCAUUAAAAGAAAAAUGACUUAACUUGACUUAAAGACUUCACUAUUUCAUUAUAAUAUUUGGUAGAAUGCAUGUCAUUUAAGUUAUGAAUAAAGUAUAGGCUAAUAUCCAACACAAGGAAAACAAACACCUACUUGCAUAUACCUAAAUUGUUACAUAUGUGUAGGCCUAUGUCAGUUGUUACAUUCUAACAGUGCACCACAGCGGAAGUGGAAAUAAUGCUACAUAUGUCAACCAUACCUUUAACAAUA